GGGGUGUGAAAUAGACUUACCUCCACGUGGUGCACCCUGGGCAACGUAUAUUGAUACGGCAAAAAGUUUAU
RNAcentral lists this ribozyme (71 nucleotides) under Rodentolepis nana. RNAcentral describes it as "Hymenolepis nana HDV ribozyme from F. prausnitzii". It matches the Rfam family "HDV ribozyme from F. prausnitzii". Lineage: Eukaryota; Metazoa; Platyhelminthes; Cestoda; Cyclophyllidea; Hymenolepididae. The record is from Rfam by way of RNAcentral.